GUUUGAUUAGCUCAGUUGGUAAGAGCGCCUGCUGUAUGCGGGAUGACCCAGGUUCAAAUCCUGUAUCAAACCCCC
RNAcentral lists this transfer RNA (75 nucleotides) under Chroococcidiopsis thermalis PCC 7203. RNAcentral describes it as "tRNA-Tyr". It matches the Rfam family "tRNA". Rfam says of the family: Transfer RNA (tRNA) molecules are approximately 80 nucleotides in length. Their secondary structure includes four short double-helical elements and three loops (D, anti-codon, and T loops). Lineage: Bacteria; Bacillati; Cyanobacteriota; Cyanophyceae; Chroococcidiopsidales; Chroococcidiopsidaceae. RNAcentral also lists the same sequence under 2 other names. The record is from RNAcentral.